CCUACGGGAGGCAGCAGUAAGGAAUAUUGGUCAAUGGGCGCAAGCCUGAACCAGCCAUGCCGCGUGCAGGAUGACGGCCCUCUGGGUUGUAAACUGCUUUUAUACGGGAAGAACAGCAUCUACGUGUAGGUGUUUGACGGUACUGUAAGAAUAAGGACCGGCUAACUUCGUGCCAGCAGCCGCGGUAAUACGAAGGGUCCAAGCGUUAUCCGGAUUUAUUGGGUUUAAAGGGUGCGUAGGCGGCUUUUUAAGUCAGUGGUGAAAGCCUGAUGCUCAACAUCAGAACUGCCAUUGAUACUGAAGAGCUUGAGUACAGUUGAGGUUGGCGGAAUGUGUCAUGUAGCGGUGAAAUGCUUAGAUAUGACACAGAACACCGAUUGCGAAGGCAGCUAGCUAAGCUGUUACUGACGCUGAUGCACGAAAGCGUGGGGAGCAAACAGGAUUAGAUACCCUGGUAGUCCACGCCCUAAACGUUGAUAACUCGUUGUUAGCGAUAUACUGUUAGCGACCAAGCGAAAGCAUUAAGUUAUCCCACCUCGGAGGUACGGUCGCGAGAGUAGUAACGUUAAAGGUAAAGUUAGUACGGACGUAGAGACGUUGCCGACGGACGACGACGAGGGAGGAGGG
Molecule: ribosomal RNA, 627 nt
Filed under: uncultured bacterium
Lineage: Bacteria
Description: bacterial SSU rRNA
Rfam family: Bacterial small subunit ribosomal RNA (bases 1-536)
Source: RNAcentral